AUAUUAUAUUUUAAACAGUAUAGCCGUGCGGCUAUACUAUUUAUUAAAAACUUUAAAAAUGUACAGCCGCACGGCUAUACUAUUUAUUUUUUAAAUU
RNAcentral lists this microRNA precursor (97 nucleotides) under Prunus dulcis (almond). RNAcentral describes it as "sRNA ncRNA". The record is from RNAcentral. Lineage: Eukaryota; Viridiplantae; Streptophyta; Magnoliopsida; Rosales; Rosaceae.